AGAGAAUACAUCUGCGGUCUUCGACCUCCU
This 30-nucleotide non-coding RNA is filed under the name Cricetulus griseus (Chinese hamster). Lineage: Eukaryota; Metazoa; Chordata; Mammalia; Rodentia; Cricetidae. The record is from RNAcentral.